This 76-nucleotide non-coding RNA is filed under the name Sporomusa sp. KB1. Lineage: Bacteria; Bacillati; Bacillota; Negativicutes; Selenomonadales; Sporomusaceae. The record is from RNAcentral.
GAGAGCCGUGUGCGAUGAAAGUCGCUUGCCCGGUUCGGGAAGGGGCGGGUUAGGUUUGUUAAUCCACCUAUUUCAU